UUAGGAAUAUUGGACAAUGGGCGCAAGCCUGAUCCAGCCAUGCCGCGUGAGUGAUGAAGGCCUUCGGGUUGUAAAACUCUUUAGCCGAUGAUUAUAAUGACUGUAGUCGGAAAAUAAGCCCCGGCUAACUUCGUGCCAGCAGCCGCGGUAAUACGAAGGGGGCGAGCGUUAUUCGGAAUCACUGGGCGUAAAGCGUGCGUAGGCGGUUUAGUAAGUUAGGAGUGAAAGCCCAGGGCUUAACCUUGGAAUUGCUCUUAAAACUACUAGACUUGAAUCUCGGAGAGGAUAGCGGAAUUUCCAGUGUAGCAGUGAAAUGCGUAGAUAUUGGAAGGAACACCAGUGGCGUAAGCGGCUAUCUGGACGAGUAUUGACGCUGAGGCACGAAAGCGUGGGGAUCAAACAGGAUUAGAUACCCUGGUAGUCCACGCCGUAAACGAUGUGUGCUUGUCGCUGGGGAGUUCACUCUUCGGUGACGCAGCUAACGCGUUAAGCACACCGCCUGGGGAAGUACGGCCGCAAGGUUAAAACUCAAAGGAAUUGACGGGGGUCAUAGCUGUUUCCUG
This 563-nucleotide ribosomal RNA is filed under the name uncultured bacterium. RNAcentral describes it as "partial 16S ribosomal RNA". It matches the Rfam family "Bacterial small subunit ribosomal RNA", at positions 355 to 941 of the family's 1533-position model. The record is from RNAcentral.